AAAGAAUUAGUUAAAAAUAACAUAAAUAUGUCAAAUUUAAAUUAUUAUUUUAAAUAUAAUAUUCUUUU
This 68-nucleotide transfer RNA is filed under the name Parasa consocia. RNAcentral describes it as "tRNA-Asp". The record is from RNAcentral. Lineage: Eukaryota; Metazoa; Arthropoda; Insecta; Lepidoptera; Limacodidae.